Molecule: ribosomal RNA, 468 nt
Filed under: Cerrorchestia hyloraina
Lineage: Eukaryota; Metazoa; Arthropoda; Malacostraca; Amphipoda; Talitridae
Description: partial large subunit ribosomal RNA
Rfam family: Bacterial large subunit ribosomal RNA (bases 297-455)
Source: RNAcentral
GUGCUAAGGUAGCAAAAUCGUUUGUUUUUUAAUUGAAAACUGGAAUGAAAGGUUUUACAAAAAAAGUAUAUUUUAUUAUUGGUUGUUAAAAUUUUUAGUCAGUGUACAAAUACGUUGAUAGGGAGAGGAACGAUAAGACCCUAAAAGCUUUAUUUUUAUUUUUUUUUUAUUAUUGUUUAAAAUUGAAUAAAUGAUAAAGAAUUGGCUGGGGUAGCAGUUUUUAGUAAUAAACAUUGAAAAAACUGAUUGGUUAAAAGUUUCUUUAUAUAAAGAAAGAUAGAUUAAGUUACUUUAGGGAUAACAGCGUUAUAUCAGUGGAGAGAUCUAAUUUAUACUGAUGAUUAUGACCUCGAUGUUGAAUUAAAUUAUCUUUACGGAGCAAAUAUUGUAAAAGAAAGUUUGUUCAACUUUUAAAUUUUUACAUGAUUUGAGUUCAAAUCGGUUUAAGCCAGGUUGGUUUCUAUCAAA